RNAcentral lists this ribosomal RNA (389 nucleotides) under uncultured bacterium. RNAcentral's name for it is "bacterial SSU rRNA". It matches the Rfam family "Bacterial small subunit ribosomal RNA", at positions 355 to 761 of the family's 1533-position model. The record is from RNAcentral.
UCGGGAAUUUUGGGCAAUGGGCGAAAGCCUGACCCAGCAACGCCGCGUGAAGGAUGAAGUAUUUCGGUAUGUAAACUUCGAAAGAAUAGGAAGAAUAAAUGACGGUACUAUUUGUAAGGUCCGGCUAACUACGUGCCAGCAGCCGCGGUAAUACGUAGGGACCAAGCGUUGUUCGGAUUUACUGGGCGUAAAGGGUGCGUAGGCGGCAUAUCAAGUCACUUGUGAAAUCUCCGGGCUUAACUCGGAACUGCCAAGUGAUACUGAUGUGCUAGAGUGCAGAAAGGGCAACUGGAAUUCUUGGUGUAGCGGUGAAAUGCGUAGAUAUCAAGAGGAACACCUGAGGCGAAGGCGAGUUGCUAGGCUGACACUGACGCUGAGGUACGAAAGCU